Molecule: ribosomal RNA, 251 nt
Filed under: uncultured bacterium
Lineage: Bacteria
Description: partial 16S ribosomal RNA
Rfam family: Bacterial small subunit ribosomal RNA
Source: RNAcentral
ACGUAUGGUGCAAGCGUUAUCCGGAUUUACUGGGUGUAAAGGGAGCGUAGACGGUUGUGUAAGUCUGAUGUGAAAGCCCGGGGCUCAACCCCGGGACUGCAUUGGAAACUAUGUAACUAGAGUGUCGGAGAGGUAAGCGGAAUUUCUAGUGUAGCGGUGAAAUGCGUAGAUAUUAGGAGGAACACCAGUGGCGAAGGCGGCUUACUGGACGAUCACUGACGUUGAGGCUCGAAAGCGUGGGGAGCAAACAG